Molecule: ribosomal RNA, 253 nt
Filed under: uncultured bacterium
Lineage: Bacteria
Description: partial 16S ribosomal RNA
Rfam family: Bacterial small subunit ribosomal RNA
Source: RNAcentral
UACGAAGGGGGCUAGCGUUGUUCGGAAUCACUGGGCGUAAAGGGCGCGUAGGCGGCCGUUCAAGUCGGGGGUGAAAGCCUGUGGCUCAACCACAGAAUUGCCUUCGAUACUGUACGGCUCGAGACCGGAAGAGGUAAGUGGAACUGCGAGUGUAGAGGUGAAAUUCGUAGAUAUUCGCAAGAACACCAGUGGCGAGGGCGGCUUACUGGUCCGGUUCUGACGCUGAGGCGCGAAAGCGUGGGGAGCAAACAGG